Molecule: ribosomal RNA, 139 nt
Filed under: uncultured bacterium
Lineage: Bacteria
Description: partial 16S ribosomal RNA
Rfam family: Bacterial small subunit ribosomal RNA
Source: RNAcentral
UGGGGAAUAUUGCACAAUCGGGGGAAAACCCUGAUGCAGCGACGCCGCGUGAAGGAAGAAGUAUCUCGGUAUGUAAACUUCUAUCAGCAGGGAAGACAAUGACGGUACCUGACUAAGAAGCCCCGGCUAACUACGUGCC